UUGCCAAUGACCCGAGUCGGAGGUACCUUUUAGAACCCACCCCCCUAAGGUGGAAUAAAUAAUUGGGGUGAAUUCUUACCAAGGUACCCUUAUCGAAAGGUGCGGCGGGAUCACCUCCUUUCUAAGGAUAAAGAAACCUGCCAUUAUGCGUCUUGUCUAAUUUUCAGAGGCCUUGGGAGCCCUUAUAUCUUCUGAGAAACCGCCUGCUUUGCACGCAUGAUGUCAAACUGUUCGAUCCCGCUAGGCUCCUUUGAAUCAAAAGAUUCGAAUUGUUCAUUGAAAAUUGAAUAUCUAUAUCAAAUUCCACAAUCUACAAAUAGAUUGUACAAAGUAACAAGAAAAUAAACCGAAAACGCUGUGAAUAUUUAAUGACUUUUCUAAUUUUAAAGAAACUAUUUUAAUAAAGUUAACUUAAUAAGGGCACACGGUGGAUGCCUUGGCACUAUAACCCGAACAAGGACCUGACUAACGACGAAAUGCUAUUGCGGGAGCUGUAAGUAAGCGCAUGAUCCAGAGAUGUCCGAAUGGGGGAACCCACUAGUUAAUGACUAGUAUCCAUAUCUGUUAAGGAUAUGAGAAGGAAGACGCAGUGAACUGAAACAUCAAAGGUACCAAAA
RNAcentral lists this unclassified non-coding RNA (617 nucleotides) under Streptococcus agalactiae. RNAcentral's name for it is "partial contains 16S ribosomal RNA and 16S-23S ribosomal RNA intergenic spacer". The stretch from base 405 to 617 matches the Rfam family "Bacterial large subunit ribosomal RNA", at positions 1 to 217 of the family's 2925-position model. Lineage: Bacteria; Bacillati; Bacillota; Bacilli; Lactobacillales; Streptococcaceae. The record is from RNAcentral.